Molecule: ribosomal RNA, 253 nt
Filed under: uncultured bacterium
Lineage: Bacteria
Description: partial 16S ribosomal RNA
Rfam family: Bacterial small subunit ribosomal RNA
Source: RNAcentral
UACGUAGGAGGCGAGCGUUGUCCGGAGUUACUGGGCGUAAAGCGCACGCAGGCGGUCCAAUCAGUCUGGAGGGACAGGGCACAGCUUAACUGUGUCAGGCUUACGGAAACUGUUGGACUUGAGGGCUUCAGAGGGAUGGGGAAUUCCGGGUGGAGUGGUGAAAUGCGUAGAGAUCCGGAAGAACACCAAAGGCGAAGGCACCAUCCUGGGGAGUCACUGACGCUCGGGUGCGAAAGCUAGGGGAGCGAACGGG